AUUGAACGCUGGCGGCAUGCCUUACACAUGCAAGUCGAACGGCAGCACGGGAGCAAUCCUGGUGGCGAGUGGCGAACGGGUGAGUAAUACAUCGGAACGUGCCCAAUCGUGGGGGGUAACGCAGCGAAAGCUGUGCUAAUACCGCAUGAGAUCUACGGAUGAAAGCAGGGGACCGCAAGGCCUUGCGCGAAUGGAGCGGC
This 200-nucleotide ribosomal RNA is filed under the name uncultured bacterium. RNAcentral describes it as "partial 16S ribosomal RNA". It matches the Rfam family "Bacterial small subunit ribosomal RNA", at positions 30 to 230 of the family's 1533-position model. The record is from RNAcentral.